RNAcentral lists this transfer-messenger RNA (404 nucleotides) under Mycoplasmataceae. RNAcentral's name for it is "Spiroplasma_A corruscae Standard tmRNA". It matches the Rfam family "transfer-messenger RNA". From Rfam's summary of the family: Bacterial tmRNA, also known as 10Sa RNA or SsrA, is named for its dual tRNA and mRNA-like properties. Its role is to liberate the mRNA from a stalled ribosome. The record is from RNAcentral. Lineage: Bacteria; Bacillati; Mycoplasmatota; Mollicutes; Mycoplasmatales.
GGGGGUGUCCCGGUCUCGACAGGAUAUUUUCGCCUAUAGUUGCAGUGGUUUGGUAAACCUUAAUACUUCUAGGUUUGAUAAAAUGCAAACGAAAACAAAAAUGAAUUUGAAAUGCCAGCAUUCAUGAUCAAUAAUGCAUCAGCUGGAGUUGCAUUAGCAGCUUAAUAAGUAUUUAUUACUUAUAGCAUUCAACGUUAGUAAAUGUGUUUAUGCUUCAUUUAAUGACGUAUUACCUAGCAUAAUAGAUUAACUUAUUGUGAGAAGGUUAAUCGAAAUUACUUCACAAAAUCUAUAAACUAUUUUUGUAAGUUUUAUUUUUUAUAGAUUAAUCAAAACUUUCUAAACUGUAGACGCUAUGGGUUGGAGUAUUUUGGACGCGGGUUCGAUUCCCGCCAUCUCCACCA